This 141-nucleotide ribosomal RNA is filed under the name uncultured eukaryote. RNAcentral's name for it is "partial 18S ribosomal RNA". It matches the Rfam family "Eukaryotic small subunit ribosomal RNA", at positions 1299 to 1458 of the family's 1831-position model. The record is from RNAcentral.
UGGUGGAGCGAUUUGUCUGGUUAAUUCCGAUAACGAACGAGACCUUAACCUGCUAACUAGACACGCGAUCUCGUGGAUCGUGACGCGUUCUUCUUAGAGGGACCCUCGGUAUCUAGCCGGAGGAAGUUUGAGGCAAUAACA